AGGGAAAAGUGGUAUUUGUUGGGCUGAGUAGCCGUGCUCAAACUGAGGCGAUGGAAGCCCAGUGUAGCACUGACUUUGUUGCAAACCUGCCAUUUGGUCUGUGUAAACAAUCCAAUUGUAGAAAAGCCUAACCCGGAGUUACAUGUAGUACAUCAGUGUCCACAUAUCUGCAUAAAUGAAGAUAUCAACACAAAAACAUCAGUCCAUCUCCUCUCUUCAUAAAGACCCCGUCACCCUCAGCCAGAGGAAAUGCAAUAAACCGGAAGCAAUGCACCCCGCAACCACUUCCAUCUAUUCACAGCAGCCAAACAACUCAACAAUCCUCAUCCAAUCAACCAGCAGCCCUGCGGAACAGUUGCCAUAGUUACGACUUCAACAAUUGCAGGUUAUAUUUUCUUAGUGAUAAUAGUGAUAGCCCUUGCUGUGCUUUGCUGGAUCCUCAUUUCUCUCAGAAGAAAAUCCAGGUGGUAUUCCUUUGACUUCAAGUACCCUGCACUCCUGACGGACCCUCCUGAGACCUUUGAGACCGUCAACAUGGACGGACUGAAUACUGUUGACCUUUCACCUUUGCCAGCAUCCAAUGGGGAGCGUCUCCUGGACCAGGAGGUGCUCCUGCCCUCUAGCGGCUUCCUCCCAUUGGACACUGAGCAGACUGACAGGAAGUGGGACCAAUCAGACAGAGUGUCACUUCAUAUAACAGAGGAAGAGCCGGAGAACAGCACUGCACUGUCCUGUGGUUCUACUGCAGCCUAGUACUGUUACCCCGUCUCCUCCCCUCCUCUUCUCCAGGACUCCUUUCUCCUCCUUCUCUCCUCUCAUCCUCCAGUAACCCGUCUCCUCUUCUCCAGGACUCCUUUCUCCUCCUUCUCUCCUCUCCUCCAGUACCCCGCCUCUUCUCCUCCUCCUUCUCAGGCUCAGACAGAAGAUAGUGGUGGAGAAACGAGACUUAAACAAACUUAAACAAAAAUACUUCAAACUGUCAAAUAUGAAAUAAAGUGUGUCAACGAUUAUUUCCCUUU
Molecule: long non-coding RNA, 1019 nt
Organism: Gadus morhua (Atlantic cod)
Lineage: Eukaryota; Metazoa; Chordata; Actinopteri; Gadiformes; Gadidae
Exons: 5
Source: RefSeq, a predicted model, not a curated record